RNAcentral lists this ribosomal RNA (441 nucleotides) under uncultured bacterium. RNAcentral describes it as "partial 16S ribosomal RNA". It matches the Rfam family "Bacterial small subunit ribosomal RNA", at positions 338 to 795 of the family's 1533-position model. The record is from RNAcentral.
CCUACGGGAGGCAGCAGUGGGGAAUAUUGCACAAUGGGCGAAACCCUGAUGCAGCGACGCCGCGUGAGUGAAGAAGUAUUUCGGUAUGUAAAGCUCUAUCAGCAGGGAAGAAGAAAGACUGUACCUGACUAAGAUGCCCCGGCUAACUACGUGCCAGCAGCCGCGGUAAUCCGGAGGGGGCCAGCGUUAACCGGAUUUACUGGGGGUGAAGGGAGCGGAGACGGUUGUGCUAGUCUGAAGUGAAAGCCCAGGGCUCAACCCGGGGACUGCUUUGGAGACUGCGGAGCGAGAGUGCAGGAGAGGUAAGUGGAAUUCCUGGUGUAGCGGGGAAAUGCGUAGAUAUUAGGAGGAACACCAGUGGCGAAGGCGGCUUACGGGACAGUAACUGACGUUGAGGAUCGAAAGCGUGGGUAGCAAACAGGAUUAGAUACCCGUGUAGUC